CUGGCUAAGGCUCCUCCCCGACGAACCCCAUUCCUGCUUUCCCGCUCAAAUGUUGCAUUUUCUAAGACCUCCCUGGCCCGCCAUACGCCGAUCCUGAACCUACGAAAACCCAAGACUGCGGGCACGGUGGCUCAUGCCUGUAAUCCCAGCACUUUGGGAGGCCGAGGCGGGCAGAUCACGAGGUCAAGAAGUCGAGACCAGCCUUGCUAACAUGGCGAAACCCUGACUCUACUGAAAAUACAAAAAUUAGCUGGGCGUGAUGGCGUGCGCGCCUGUAGUCCCAGCUGCUCGGGAGGCUGAGGUAGGAGAAUCGCUUCAAUCCGGGAGGUGGAGGUUGCGGUAAGCAGAGAUUGCGCCACUGCACUCUAGCCUGGCGACAGAGACUCCUUCAAAAACAACAACAACAACAACAACAACAACAAAACAAAACCUCCCAAGACCCUAGUGGGCAGACACACAGCCAGCCAGACAUGGAGAGGAGCACAUUAGCAGAAGAAGACGCAAGUGGCUGGUCCUCGAGAGGACGUUGAGAGGAGCAUGCCAGCAGAAGAGCACACAACGACAGGCACCGACACACCACCGGCAGGCCAUGCACCAGCAGAAUGAUGCGGAGUUUGACGGGGCAGUCAGAGAAGAGCCUGGGCCGCCAAGGGGCCCGACUCCAGGGGAAAACCAUCUCCCUUCUGGCUCCCCCAUCUGCUGAGAGCUACUUCUACUCAAUAAAACCUUGCACUCAUUCUCCAAGCCCACGUGUAAUCCGAUUCUUCAGGUUUAAGCAUGGUCAUAGCAGAAUCAAUGUGCUCACCCCAUCAUGAAAAAAAAAAUGUGUUAAUGAAUUGAUUACUACUUUGAGUGUGCCAUAUUUUAAAGACGAAGAGAAACUAAUCAAGUUAGUUUUUAUUUGGUCAGAGGCUUGUUUGUGCCUGCUUAUCUAAAGUUAUAAAGGCCCCAAAUAUGGCUCCGUGUUGCAGAGGGACUGUCUCUUCUUAUAUCGACAGAGCCCAUAUUCACAAUGUAUCACACUUACCUCGAUGUAUUGUCUGGAGUUUCCUAGGCUGUGUCCUUUGCCUGGAAUGCUCUCUCUUGCUGGCUGGCUUCUUCCCACCAGCUGUGGCCAGGGCUGCUCCUUAUUCCUUCGUCAAAACUCCGUCUGCUGGGUGUGGUGCCUCACACCUGUAAUCCCAGCACUUUGAGAGGCCAAGGUGGGAGUAUCGUUUGAGCCCAGGAGUUCAAGACAAGCCUGGACAACAGAGCAAGACCCUGUCUCUACCAAAGAAAAGAAAAGAAAAGAAAAGAAACAGCCACUUUCUCUUCCAUGAGCCAGUUUAUGUUUUCUUCACGGCAUUUGUUACAAAUGUAAGUUAAAAGUCCUAAAUACAUAUUUGUUCAAUGAAUGUCGAAGUGCUCUGACCUUAUAUUCAAUUUUCCUAUCCAAGGCAAAAACCAUUAUGGGAAAAAUAGUAGAAAAUUGGCUACUUAAAAGUUAACCACACUUAAGAAAGUCUAGCAUGCAAGGUAGUGAUUAUCCUGGAGCAUUCAAAAGGCAUUUGGGUCUCAUUUACGAGGGGUUUUCUGCAGACCUCAGUUUCUUAAAUUUUAGUCAAUAUAUUUUUAAAGUAGGCAUAAUUUAUCACACGCUUUUGCAGCUUUACUCUUUAUAACUCUAAGAAACUGUAGAAAAUGUUUUCUUUCCCUGUCUCCUACAUGUUUGAAGAUGAAAUUGAAAAUUCAGCCAAUAAAACUGUGCUAAAAAGUUUGACACUAAGAAAAAGAAAGGCCCCUCUCCUGGUGAGUUUCACUGUGAGAUGGCUGGAAAUGUUGAUUGGUGGAUCUGUGUUUGUUCGUUAGUUUGGGGCCUGGACACUGAGAGUUAAGUCCACUUAGAGAUGUCAGGGAACCCAUACUUUUGGUUAAAAGCCAAAAGGGAAUGUGGGGAGGGAGUUACGGACUGAAAUAGGCGGUAGGGUUUUCUCCCUGUGUGUCCCCCUUUCUCUGUCCCUUGUUUGGUUUAUGCAUAGAUUUUUGUUGUGUAUCCUUCAAUCCCUUCCACAUUACCCUUCUCUCUUUCACCCUUAAACUGAGAUUUAGAACUAAAAUGAGAGUUUACGAAGGUACUGGCUAUAAUUAUUUUAUUUACUAUUUAUUAAUUUUUUUGAGACAGGAUUUCUCUCUGUUGCCCAGGCUGGAGUACAGUGGUGCAAUCAUGGCUCACUGCAACUUUGAGCUCCCAGGCUCAUGCAAUUCUGCCACCUGUGCCUCCUGAGUAGCUGGGACGACAGGCACAUGCCACCAUGCCCAGCUAAUCUUUUUACUUUUUGUAGAAAUAGGGUCUCACUAUGUUGCCUAGGCCGGCCUUGGACUCCUGGGCUCAAGCAAUUCUCAUGCCUCAACCUCCCAAAGUGCUAGGAUUACAGGUGUGAACCACCGCGCCUGGCCUAUAAUUAUGAAAAAAAACCCCACUAUUUUCUGAUAUGAUUUUUAAUUUAUUCCUCUAAUAUAAUAUUCUAUUACUCAGGUUUACUUUAGACAAAAACUACCUCCUUUGCUUACUAUUUUUAAAUGGUUAUUGAAGGAGUCAAUAGCCUGCAAAUAUGUGCAUUUCUUUGACCCAGAAACUUUGCUUCUAGGAAUUUGUAUUAAGGAAAUAAUUCAACCAGUAGGUAAAGAACUUGUAUAAGCCUGUUUAUUCUAGACCUGUUCCAUCUUAUUGAAAAAUUCAUACACAACCUAAAUGUCCAACAAUAAUGUUGAUUAAAUAAAUGUAAGUAUAUCCAUACAAUUAAAUGUUAUACAGCUAUUAAAAUUAAUGAUGUCAGCAGGGCACAGUGGCUCACGCCUGUAAUCCUAGCACUGCCGAGGCGGGCAGAUCAGUUGAGGUCAGGAGUUUGAGACCAGCCUGGCCAACAUGAUGAUGUUGGCUGGGCGCAGUGGCUCACGCCUGUAAUUCCAGCACUGCUGAGGCGGGCAGAUCACUUGAGGUCAGGAGUUUGAGACCAGCCUGGCCAACAUGGCGAAACCCCGUCUCUACUAAAAAUACAAAAAUUAGCCAGGCAUGAUAGCACAUGCUCGUAAUCCCAGCUACUCAGGAGGCUGAGGCAAGAGAAUUGCUUGAACCCGGGGGGCAGAGGUUGCAAUGAGCCAAGAUCACGCCACUGCACUCCAGCCUGGGUG
Molecule: long non-coding RNA, 3171 nt
Filed under: Homo sapiens (human)
Lineage: Eukaryota; Metazoa; Chordata; Mammalia; Primates; Hominidae
Description: PREDICTED lncRNA (TCONS_00251174)
Source: RNAcentral